RNAcentral lists this ribosomal RNA (2241 nucleotides) under Salmonella enterica subsp. enterica. RNAcentral describes it as "partial 23S ribosomal RNA". It matches the Rfam family "Bacterial large subunit ribosomal RNA", at positions 711 to 2925 of the family's 2925-position model. Lineage: Bacteria; Pseudomonadati; Pseudomonadota; Gammaproteobacteria; Enterobacterales; Enterobacteriaceae. The record is from RNAcentral.
AGACCCGAAACCCGGUGAUCUAGCCAUGGGCAGGUUGAAGGUUGGGUAACACUAACUGGAGGACCGAACCGACUAAUGUUGAAAAAUUAGCGGAUGACCUGUGGCUGGGGGUGAAAGGCCAAUCAAACCGGGAGAUAGCUGGUUCUCCCCGAAAGCUAUUUAGGUAGCGCCUCGUGAAUUCAUCUCCGGGGGUAGAGCACUGUUUCGGCUAGGGGGCCAUCCCGGCUUACCAACCCGAUGCAAACUGCGAAUACCGGAGAAUGUUAUCACGGGAGACACACGGCGGGUGCUAACGUCCGUCGUGAAGAGGGAAACAACCCAGACCGCCAGCUAAGGUCCCAAAGUCAUGGUUAAGUGGGAAACGAUGUGGGAAGGCCCAGACAGCCAGGAUGUUGGCUUAGAAGCAGCCAUCAUUUAAAGAAAGCGUAAUAGCUCACUGGUCGAGUCGGCCUGCGCGGAAGAUGUAACGGGGCUAAACCAUGCACCGAAGCUGCGGCAGCGACACUAUGUGUUGUUGGGUAGGGGAGCGUUCUGUAAGCCUGCGAAGGUGGCCUGUGAGGGUUGCUGGAGGUAUCAGAAGUGCGAAUGCUGACAUAAGUAACGAUAAAGCGGGUGAAAAGCCCGCUCGCCGGAAGACCAAGGGUUCCUGUCCAACGUUAAUCGGGGCAGGGUGAGUCGACCCCUAAGGCGAGGCCGAAAGGCGUAGUCGAUGGGAAACGGGUUAAUAUUCCCGUACUUGGUGUUACUGCGAAGGGGGGACGGAGAAGGCUAUGUUGGCCGGGCGACGGUUGUCCCGGUUUAAGCGUGUAGGUGUGUGUUCCAGGUAAAUCCGGUUCACUUUAACACUGAGGCGUGAUGACGAGGCACUACGGUGCUGAAGCAACAAAUGCCCUGCUUCCAGGAAAAGCCUCUAAGCAUCAGGUAACACGAAAUCGUACCCCAAACCGACACAGGUGGUCAGGUAGAGAAUACCAAGGCGCUUGAGAGAACUCGGGUGAAGGAACUAGGCAAAAUGGUGCCGUAACUUCGGGAGAAGGCACGCUGACAUGUAGGUGAAGUGAUUUACUCACGGAGCUGAAGUCAGUCGAAGAUACCAGCUGGCUGCAACUGUUUAUUAAAAACACAGCACUGUGCAAACACGAAAGUGGACGUAUACGGUGUGACGCCUGCCCGGUGCCGGAAGGUUAAUUGAUGGGGUCAGCGCAAGCGAAGCUCCUGAUCGAAGCCCCGGUAAACGGCGGCCGUAACUAUAACGGUCCUAAGGUAGCGAAAUUCCUUGUCGGGUAAGUUCCGACCUGCACGAAUGGCGUAAUGAUGGCCAGGCUGUCUCCACCCGAGACUCAGUGAAAUUGAACUCGCUGUGAAGAUGCAGUGUACCCGCGGCAAGACGGAAAGACCCCGUGAACCUUUACUAUAGCUUGACACUGAACAUUGAGCCUUGAUGUGUAGGAUAGGUGGGAGGCUUUGAAGCGUGGACGCCAGUCUGCGUGGAGCCGACCUUGAAAUACCACCCUUUAAUGUUUGAUGUUCUAACGUGGACCCGUGAUCCGGGUUGCGGACAGUGUCUGGUGGGUAGUUUGACUGGGGCGGUCUCCUCCUAAAGAGUAACGGAGGAGCACGAAGGUUGGCUAAUCCUGGUCGGACAUCAGGAGGUUAGUGCAAUGGCAUAAGCCAGCUUGACUGCGAGCGUGACGGCGCGAGCAGGUGCGAAAGCAGGUCAUAGUGAUCCGGUGGUUCUGAAUGGAAGGGCCAUCGCUCAACGGAUAAAAGGUACUCCGGGGAUAACAGGCUGAUACCGCCCAAGAGUUCAUAUCGACGGCGGUGUUUGGCACCUCGAUGUCGGCUCAUCACAUCCUGGGGCUGAAGUAGGUCCCAAGGGUAUGGCUGUUCGCCAUUUAAAGUGGUACGCGAGCUGGGUUUAGAACGUCGUGAGACAGUUCGGUCCCUAUCUGCCGUGGGCGCUGGAGAACUGAGGGGGGCUGCUCCUAGUACGAGAGGACCGGAGUGGACGCAUCACUGGUGUUCGGGUUGUCAUGCCAAUGGCACUGCCCGGUAGCUAAAUGCGGAAGAGAUAAGUGCUGAAAGCAUCUAAGCACGAAACUUGCCCCGAGAUGAGUUCUCCCUGAGACUUUAGGUCUCCUGAAGGAACGUUGAAGACGACGACGUUGAUAGGCCGGGUGUGUAAGCGCAGCGAUGCGUUGAGCUAACCGGUACUAAUGAACCGUGAGGCUUAACCUUACA